UGCUUGCAGCUGAGGGAGUAACAUCAUCCAGCUGAGCUGAGACUCACAACAUCUUGGAGUCUCCUGGGAAUUUACCUGACCUCCAUGAAUUCUCAGAGACAUCCAUGUUUGUGUUAUUACUCCAUCCAACUCCUUGAGUAUGCCAUGAUGAGUAUCGUGAAACCCUGCAUCAACAAAUAGUGUCACAUGGGAAACUAAUGAGGCUCAGGAAACUUCAUGGUUCAUUUUCCUUCAACCUGGAGAAUAAUAGCAUCCCAGAGAAGUUCUUCAUCUUUCAGAAAAUGGAUCAGAUCAUUCCAGUAAGAGAAGCAUGUAAAGGGAAAGAAGAGCCACGGAGUAUCCAACAAAGGAAAAGGUAAAGAAUAAAAAAUCUUGCUACCUUCUGGUAAUCUACUUCCUGUUAGGAAGAUGAAAAGGGAUAGUAAAGACUCAGACCUAUGACUUUUUCAUUAUGUGGAGAAAAAGUAAGCAAAAAGCCAAAUAAAUCACACUGCCAUGCUUCUGUCCUAUGUUUGCUGCAGCAGUGGGAUUAUCUUUUGUUAAAAGCAAAAGUAAACAUGUCAGAAAAACAGAAUUGUUUUAGUCUUCAGCUACUGCAGGCUGUUCAUGAAAAAUGUAAAAUAAUAUCAUGUAUCUAUGUAUAUUUUAACGCUUCCCUGCUGUGAUACUUUUUUUCUUAUCUGAGACUGAUUCCUUAAUGAGCCUACAAUUCUAACAAUAAUGUAACAAGACAGCCAAAUUAGUGCUCUCCUAAUUUUACCAACAAAACCUUAACAAAAUACAAAAAAGCAUCUACAAUAUAGAACAUAUUCCAUAUGUUUUCAGUCUCCGUGUCUGACAUCAGCCAGCAUGGGUCUCUAACUCUUUUGGUAAUGCUUUAUAUUUAUGGCCAAUUUUUCAGUUAGCCUCAGAUAGACUUCAAACCCCAUGUUUGCUCAUAGGGACUGAUAUUUGUAUAUGCACAGUGAAUCAUUACACAUCUAGAUACCUAAUUUGCACAUGUAGAUAUGGGAUUUGCAUACAAUAGCAGACAAAUAUAUAUUGUUCGGAAUACAAAAGUAGAGGUAUGGUUAAAAUUUGGCCAUUACAGUCAGUGCAGGGACUUUGAAGAAACUGUACACUGUGAUGGCAGUAUGGAUACACCUGUCACCUCACAGCAACAUGGUACACAGUAUUAAGGUAGGAGAGCUAUGGGAUGUACAUGGGAUGUUAACAUCAUGCGAGGGUGGUUCAGAAAGUGAAAAUAAUGAGGAUGACCAUAUAUACUUGUACUUUUUCAUCAGAUGGCAGGAUAUGUAAUAAAUGGGAAUUACUCAAUUAAUCCCUUUGUAGAUCUC
This is a long non-coding RNA of Alligator mississippiensis (American alligator), 1337 nucleotides long. RefSeq lists it as uncharacterized. NCBI's taxonomy places the organism in Eukaryota, Metazoa, Chordata, Crocodylia, Alligatoridae. The record is from RefSeq and is a predicted model, not a curated record. The transcript is spliced from 3 exons.